RNAcentral lists this transfer RNA (74 nucleotides) under Campylaephora sungminbooi. Its description in RNAcentral is "tRNA-Ser". It matches the Rfam family "tRNA". From Rfam's summary of the family: Transfer RNA (tRNA) molecules are approximately 80 nucleotides in length. Their secondary structure includes four short double-helical elements and three loops (D, anti-codon, and T loops). Further hydrogen bonds mediate the characteristic L-shaped molecular structure. tRNAs have two regions of fundamental functional importance: the anti-codon, which is responsible for specific mRNA codon recognition, and the 3' end, to which the tRNAs corresponding amino acid is attached (by aminoacyl-tRNA synthetases). tRNAs cope with the degeneracy of the genetic code in two manners: having more than one tRNA (with a specific anti-codon) for a particular amino acid; and 'wobble' base-pairing, i.e. permitting non-standard base-pairing at the 3rd anti-codon position. Lineage: Eukaryota; Rhodophyta; Florideophyceae; Ceramiales; Ceramiaceae. The record is from RNAcentral.
AAGUAAUUAGUUCAAUUGGUUAGAACAUUUCGUUUACACUGAAAAGCUUACUAGUUCAACUCUAGUAUUACUUA